RNAcentral lists this non-coding RNA (30 nucleotides) under Rattus norvegicus (Norway rat). Lineage: Eukaryota; Metazoa; Chordata; Mammalia; Rodentia; Muridae. The record is from RNAcentral.
UAGCAGGGCCUCAUACAUCAAGAUCAUUGU